This is a non-coding RNA of Rattus norvegicus (Norway rat), 4787 nucleotides long. The record is from RefSeq and is a predicted model, not a curated record. Lineage: Eukaryota; Metazoa; Chordata; Mammalia; Rodentia; Muridae.
UCUCUCUCUGUCUCUCUCUGUGUCUCUCUCUCUGUCUCUCUCUGUCUCUCUCUCUGUCUCUCUCUCUCUCUCUCUCUCUCUCUCUCUCUCUCUCUCUCUCUCUGUCUCUCUCUGGCAGAUGGAGUCAAUAAGGAUUAUGCUCAAAGUCCUGCUUCCAGAACUUAUUGGAAAAAAGGAGGGCAGAGAAAAUCCUCUUUUCUUCUUUUUUCAAAGCUGAUGGGAAAGGGCAAAGCCCAGCACAGGAGCCCUCUGCCAUCUUGUCCCUGUCUCCUUCUAUGGCAUGCCUGAUCUUGCUCUCUAUCUGCAUUCACAAAUGCCCUGGAAAGCCUUCCCAGUCACUCUCCAGGUCCCAAUUCACCUUAGAACCUCCAGAAGAGUGUGUCAUAUGAUGUUCCGAGGUAGAUACUUCAGGCAGAAGACUGUGCAUAGAACUAUACAGAAAGAAAGCAGAGAAUAACUUGGGUUUGGACUCUGGGGGGUGAGGGACACCAGGAUAGACUGUUAGGCUUAUAUAGUCAACAUAUGUGUUCUUGGGGAAGCUUGAAUCAUCCUGAUAUGUUUAUAGAUAGUUUCCUGAAUGAAGGUUAGUCUCCACAAAUAUUACACACACACACACACACACACACACACACACACACACACACACACACAUUCAUUACUUAAAUAAGCACCAAAACAUUGAUGAGGACUAGAGGAGAGACAGCUCAAGUGAUAAGUGCUUGCCAUUCUUGCAGAGCACCAGAAUUCAAUUUUCCAGAACCCAUAUCAGUCAACUCAAAACUGCCUUUGGCUCAAGCUCCAGGGGAUCAGACGCUCUGUUUUGACCUUCGUGGGCACCUGCAUGCAUGUACACACAUAUAUAUGCAGGCACACACAUGCACAUACAUAAAAUUAAAAAGUAAAAUGCAAAGCCAGAUUGAUAAGCUGUAACUUAGAUCUAAUUAGGUCUUUAGUCUUCUAUCUGUAUGUACCUGAGCAAAUACAAGGAGCUACUGGAUUUUUUUAGAAAAGGCCUUAAGGGGAAAUCUUACCUUCCUUCGUUGAUAUUCAAGUGAGUGGAUGGGAUGCAAGCUCAAGGCUAAUCCAGUUAUCUCCCUUUCACAGGAGGUUGGGGAGCGGUGUAGAACUUGGUUUUGGUCUCAGUAUGAUGGUGUGGGGUGAGAUCAGGUAUGUCCUCCUCCCUCACCUGACUUCUCUAGGGGCCUUCUAUUGUCCUGGCCUCCACUUUCAUUAACCGACUACCUACAGAAUCCUGGGAGAACAGUUGUAUAUCUUGUCAUGUUUACUUAGAUGCCUUCCUCACAUGCGGACAUCUUUCUUCCAGAUCAUCAAUGUCCAACUAGAUCCUGAGAUAAACUCCAUGGGAAUGUAACAUGAAAUACCUGGAUAAGAUCUGCUGUCUUAAAAUCUCAUGGGGGGAAAAAGUGAUGGAAUCCAGAUCCUUAAUUUUCAGGCAGAGUCAGGAAGAAGAGAGUCCUGGAAGGAAGACGCUGUGGGCCUUGUGCUGCCUUCGCUUCCCCUUGCCUGUCGAACCAAACUCGGUGUUCUAGUCAAGCUUACCUCCAUCUUCCAGAUUACCCCCUGGAUAAGAGGAAGUGCUAUGGAGUCAACCUUGCUGUAGCACCAGUUUCUCAGUCUUCUCAUCUGAAAACUGGGAUAAAAGUAGCUACUUUUUACUAUGUUAUUUUAAAGACGUAAUGGAUCUAGCAUGCAAAGAGCUUGGAUAUUCACAUACCCGGGAUGUUUUAGUACCUCAGUAUAUGCUGUUAUUGUGAUUAUUCUCAUUUUCCCUGAGCAUGUGGGCAGCACAGGCCUUCUUCACUCCUCUGGACCCAGCAGCCAAGAUGUCUUCUCAUCUCUGUGGGCAAAUGAAAGCUGUGAGGCUCAGUGUGAGUCCGGGGAACUGCAUCAGCCUCCCUUGCUUGUCCUCUAAUAGAAUAGGAAACGUGGAACGUUCCGCAAAACCAAGGCUUUUUCAUAGAAUGUCUUGUGUUGUUCUCUUUCCUCUUCCAUUAUAUAACUGUACAGGAAGUGUGUUGGUAUGCGUUUAAUUUGUCGUUCUGUGGCUGAGAAGACAGAGAUGUUGUCAGCCUGACAGAGGAUAAAACUCUGCUGAAACGAAUGACAUUCCUCAGACAAAGAGUCCUCAGACGGAGGCCUAACUGCCAUCUCUGGUCCUGGUGCUUUUCUGUUCACCACAGCAGGACUUCAGAAAGAAAGGGAUCUGUGCACGGCCUCUGGGGUGGCACAUCCCUCAGUGACUUGCUAACCUUCAAAGCUACUUCAGCUCAAGAAGUCCACUGUGGGGUAGGAUGAACUGGGAGAAGGGUAUGGCCCUUUUUGUACAUGAGAGAGUUCUAUAGGGUGAAAAAUCCACAAAAGAAGGGAAGGAAGGUCGAGUAAUGGAGAAGUACUGAGGAGAAUCUCUCUCCAAUGAUAGGGUCAUCGUCUCCAAGUAACCAAGAAGGAAACACCAGAGCAAUUUUCACCCUCUCUCAUCUCCAAGUUAUGACAACAAAAUGUUUACCAUGGUCAUCUUUGGGCAGAGGAACCCAGGGACAGAAGAAGGAAGAUUUUUUUUUUGCUUUUUAUUUACAGUUUUCUCUAUUCUUUUUUUUUUUAAGACAGGAUGUUACUCUGUAGCCUAAGCUGGCCUGGAGCUCAUGAUUCUCCUGCUUCAGCUUCCUGGAACUUGUGACCCUGACUUGGGAUUACAGGCACGUGUCAACAUUCUUGGCUUCAUUCUUCCAAAUGUGUACACAAAACAUUCUUUUAGAUGUCCGCAAAUCUGAAAACACCUACAUGUGUCGAUGUGAGGCAUUUCAGUAAAGGACUAUUCCUACUCAAUAUUUCCUUGAAGUCUCUCGUUCUAAUCAGUCCUGUACACUGUGUACUACAUUACUUUUCCUGGAGAGACAGAGAUGUUUAUUCUCUUCAAAUGCAGGGGAAACAACAGACCAAAGAAGCAAUUCUAUCCAUCUUGGUGAGUUUAUUGGAAUUACUUGCAUGAGUGAUUCUUAGACAGAUACAUCACUGAAAGACCCACCUGAGUCCCGGUGAUGUCUCCCUGAAGCUGCCUCACUGGAGUCCCUUGUCAAACUUUUGUGCAGCUACACCACUGAAGACACCUUCUCUCAAACAUUGUUUACUACUCACACAAUCUCACGAAGGGGCCUCUUGAGUCUUGUAAGCUUUGUGAGCUACUGAGUCUUAUAAGUGCCUGGGGUCUCUUGAGCCUUCCUCUCCCCUCCAGGAGGGAGUGUUUAAAUUGGGAGGAAAGAACCAUACAACUGUGCUUUUGCAAAUACUUCUCCCUAAUGCUAAAUGAGUCUGGGACAUUUUUCUCCUAACAGUGCAAGGGGAGCUGUGAGCUUGCUUGGCUUGGUGUCUUCUGCUGGCUUGAGUUUGCUCUUGUUCUUGUUGCUGCUGCUGCUGCUGUUGCUGCUGCUGCUGUUGCUGUUGCUGCUUCCGUCGUUUUCUUUACAGCCCCAGUAUCUGGGGGAAAAGUAUCACAGGAAGCAGUGGAGCUUGGUUAUGUAACAACAGAUACCAGAAUGGUGAAAGGGCAGACUAGAGAGACAGAGUAGCCCAUGUGGUGGGAGGAGAAGGAGAGGAGGGCCAAGACCUGAUUCUCAGUUUUCAAUCAUCACUGGGGGCUCUGAUUGAAGACUAGAUUAUAAGAGUUGGGGGUCAGACAUGGAACUGAGGGAGCAUUGAGGAGAUGAGGUAAGAGAUAAGGGAGCCGGGAGUCAGGGUAGUCCUACGGAUCUGCAUGUUGGAAGAAUCCCUUGAAUGAAGCCCGACAAGACAAUUGUGAAUUGCCUGUGAGGAAGUGAAAACCCAAGGAAUCCCUCCGCUUUCCAAAGCCUUAAUAAUGAAUUGAUGAAAACUGGGUAAGAAAGGGGGCAUGUGAUGGUCACUGGUGCUAAGACUUACUUUUGGACACACUAAGCUUGGGGUGUCUAUUAAUUAGCUAAGAGGAGACUGUUGGGCCUAUAAGGCUGAUUUUCAAUAGAUUUAGGCUGCUAUUGGUUGGCUCAAUUUGCUACACAAAAAAAUUUAAAUAAUAUCAAGUCCUUAGCACACAUGAAAUAAACACCUAUUAAACACAUUCUAUUAGGUAGAGCUAAAUGAAAUAGCCAUAUUUCUGUGACAAAAAAAGGGUCAAAUAUUGUUCAAUUUCGUACCACUUAAGCUCACAUAUCUGAAGUGUCAGAAUUGUGAAGGACAAAGAUGUAUUAAGCAUAAUGCACGUUCCCCAGGAGCUGACAGCUCCAAAUGGGAAUAACACUUUCAUUUAAGUCUAGUGACAUAAUAAGUACUUACACAACGGUGACUGUGUUCAGGCUCUAUAAUAAUCAGCUUUCACACACGCAGCCGUGUAAUCAUCCCAAUGACUUUGCGAAGCAGAGAUUGCCAUUAGUUCGAGAAAAUAACUUGUUUAACCAAACCACAGUGGGUUAAAGAUGGCUAUGUGUUUUUUAGCACUCACUCAGUGGAAAUGGGUGGAGGCUAUUCUGCCGCUCUCCAAAUUGGCUUUGAUGGAUUGCUUGAGUUGUAAGAGAUGCUAAGCAAUCUGUCUUCCCUCAUAGAAGCCAGCUGCCAUGUUAGAAUCUUAACCACCUUGAAACCACCACACUGGGUGGAAGCCCAAGCACACUAUGCACCAGGAGAGACACAUGCAAAAACGUGCCGAGGUGCCUGGAUGGAUUUAGUCAGCACCUGCUUGAACAGAAUAGCAACCUCAUUGAAUACUGUAAGGAAAUAAAACUGUUAUUCCAAGGCAA